Molecule: long non-coding RNA, 1563 nt
Organism: Arvicola amphibius (Eurasian water vole)
Lineage: Eukaryota; Metazoa; Chordata; Mammalia; Rodentia; Cricetidae
Exons: 4
Source: RefSeq, a predicted model, not a curated record
GUUUGCUCUCUGCUUAUUGCUUCCAGUUCAACAUGUAAGCUCUCAGCUGGGCCCUCCAAUCGCCAUGCUACUGCUGGCUGCCAUAUUGUUUCUGCCAGAAUGGACGUGAAACCUCUGCAACUAUAAUCCCAAAGAAACUCUUUCUCCAGUAAGGUGCCUUGUUCAUGGUGUUUUCAUCAAAGCAAUGGGAAAGUAACUAAUACAGUGUGUGUGUGUGUGUGUGUGUGUGUGUGUGUAUGAAACUAGAAUGAGGGCCAUGAGAGGGGAGACAGUCAUCUCCAGAAGGGAGAAGGCAAUGACAUGAAAGCAGACAGGUAAGAGGGGAACCCAUCAGAGGAAAGCAGGAUAUAUGGGGAAGACUGUGGGGAAAGAGAACAUACAAAAAUAAAGUAUAAGGACAUAUAUGUAUGAAAAUAGGAUCAUGAAACCUAUUGGUAUGCACGAUAAUCUAAAAAAUUAAUUUAAAAAAUUGGAAGCAAGCAAAGCAAAAGAAUAAGCUUGUCGAGUUGACUUCCGGGCUAGAACGAGAGAGGAAAUGAGCCAGACGUUGGGCUGAAGGUGAGCCAGGACCAUGACGGAGGGUGUGGAAGUCACUUAAGGAUCCUAUAGCUCAUGCAGUAGGAAAAAGAACGAGAAGAGAGCGAGGGGGAGAACAAAGUGGGAGGUGAGGAAAAUGGAAAGGGAGAAGCUGUGAAGAAGAAUGAGGUUAGAAGAGGAGGAGAACAUGAAGCACUCGCUGGGGGGAGGCAGCCUGGCUGGCUUGGAGAUCCCCCAUGGUCAUGCGCCCUUCACAUUGCUGUGGACUCUUACUGACAUCCCCCCCCCGGCCGCCACCUCUCCCAUUACUCCUACCUGCAGUGCACUACUGUGGGCCCUGCCCCUGGGCUUCUGUUGAUGUAGUCUCUGACCGUUCUCACAAACUGAAUCAGGGACUGGGUGGUCUCUGGGACUCCAUGGUCUGGCCAUACUGUGUAGUGAAAGUGACGGAUGAGUCUGUGUGCAUCCAGCUGUUCCUCCUGCAGGAGUGGAGAGCAGACGAUGAGAGGGACGGCUGAGGGGAACACAAAGACUCUGACAACUGUGCCCACGUGAGUUUCCCUGGUCUGAAACUACAGUCUACGAGUCAGGAAAAGCAGGAUUCAGAGUCUCUGCUAUUGAUGUGGGAUUUCCCCCUAUAUGCUGUGAAUACCAUUGGUGAAUAAAGAAACUGCCUAGGCCUGUUGAUAGGCCAGAAUUUAGGUAGGAGAGAAAACUAAACUGAAUGCUGGGAGAAAAAAGGCAGAGUCAAGAGAGAAGCCAUGGAGCUGCUGGGGACAGAUGCUGGAAACUUUACCAGAUGAAGAAGGCGACGAGGGCCACCAGCAUGCCAAUUAGAAACAGGCCAGCGCUCACACCUUCAAUAACUCCAAACAAGGGCUCUGCGAUCCCACUUAUCUCCCCAUCCCCUUGCCUCCUCCCUCUGCCCUUGCAACCUCCCCUCUUAAGAUAAAACAAAGCCUAAAAAAAGACCAUCAAAAACCAAACCAACCAACCAAACAAGAAGAAGAAGAGGAGGAGGAGGAG